CCUACGGGUGGCAGCAGUGAGGAAUAUUGGUCAAUGGGCGCUAGCCUGAACCAGCCAAGUAGCGUGAAGGAUGACUGCCCUAUGGGUUGUAAACUUCUUUUAUAUGGGAAUAAAGUGCAGUAUGUAUACUGCUUUGUAUGUACUUUAUGAAUAAGGAUCGGCUAACUCCGUGCCAGCAGCCGCGGUAAUACGGAGGAUCCGAGCGUUAUCCGGAUUUAUUGGGUUUAAAGGGAGCGUAGAUGGGUUGUUAAGUCAGUUGUGAAAGUUUGCGGCUCAACCGUAAAAUUGCAAUUGAUACUGGCAGCCUUGAGUACAGUUGAGGUAGGCGGAAUUCGUGGUGUAGCGGUGAAAUGCUUAGAUAUCACGAAGAACUCCGAUUGCGAAGGCAGCUUACUAAACUGCCACUGACAUUGAUGCUCGAAAGUGUGGGUAUCAAACAGGAUUAGAUACCCCAGUAGUC
RNAcentral lists this ribosomal RNA (460 nucleotides) under uncultured bacterium. Its description in RNAcentral is "partial 16S ribosomal RNA". It matches the Rfam family "Bacterial small subunit ribosomal RNA", at positions 338 to 795 of the family's 1533-position model. The record is from RNAcentral.